CGAUGAUGCAUAGCCCGAGUUGAGAGACUGAUCGGGCCACAUUGGGGACUGAGACACGGGCCCAAACUCCUACGGGAGGCAGCAGUAGGGGAAAUCUUCCACAAUGGACGCAAGUCUGAUGGAGCAAACGCCGCGUGAGUGAAGAAGGGUUUCGGCUCGUAAAAAGCUCUGUUGUUGGUGAAGAAGGACAGGGGUAGUAACUGACCCUUUGUUUGACGGUAAUCAAUUAGAAAGUCACGGGCUAACUACGUGCCAGCAGCCGCGGUAAAU
This 270-nucleotide ribosomal RNA is filed under the name uncultured Lactobacillus sp. Its description in RNAcentral is "partial 16S ribosomal RNA". It matches the Rfam family "Bacterial small subunit ribosomal RNA", at positions 274 to 525 of the family's 1533-position model. The record is from RNAcentral. Lineage: Bacteria; Bacillati; Bacillota; Bacilli; Lactobacillales; Lactobacillaceae.